RNAcentral lists this ribosomal RNA (492 nucleotides) under uncultured bacterium. RNAcentral describes it as "partial 16S ribosomal RNA". It matches the Rfam family "Bacterial small subunit ribosomal RNA", at positions 29 to 507 of the family's 1533-position model. The record is from RNAcentral.
AGUGAACGCUGGCGGUAGGCCUAACACAUGCAAGUCGAACGGCAGCACAGUAAGAGCUUGCUCUUACGGGUGGCGAGUGGCGGACGGGUGAGGAAUACAUCGGAAUCUACUUUUUCGUGGGGGAUAACGUAGGGAAACUUACGCUAAUACCGCAUACGACCUACGGGUGAAAGCAGGGGAUCUUCGGACCUUGCGCGAUUGAAUGAGCCGAUGUCGGAUUAGCUAGUUGGCGGGGUAAAGGCCCACCAAGGCGACGAUCCGUAGCUGGUCUGAGAGGAUGAUCCGCCACACUGGAACUGAGACACGGUCCAGACUCCUACGGGAGGCAGCAGUGGGGAAUAUUGGACAAUGGGCGCAAGCCUGAUCCAGCCAUACCGCGUGGGUGAAGAAGGACUUCGGGUUGUAAAGCCCUUUUGUUGGGAAAGAAAAGCAGCAGGUUAAUACCCCGCUGUUCUGACGGUACCCAAAGAAUAAGCACCGGCUAACUUCGUG